This 610-nucleotide long non-coding RNA is filed under the name Hordeum vulgare. Its description in RNAcentral is "long non-coding RNA (HVUL_LNC010663)". The record is from RNAcentral. Lineage: Eukaryota; Viridiplantae; Streptophyta; Magnoliopsida; Poales; Poaceae.
UAAAGUUAUUCUUCUCGGUGUAGCUAGCGCAUGCAAGCCUAGCAGCUUCCUGCUAGCUACGAUCAAGAUCAGCCUUGUCCUGCCUGUGGCAUCCAUGGUCUCUCUCGUCGUUGGAUGAUCGACUAACCUUGAGAUAUCACCAGCUCUUUAGACCCAGCCAGUCUUUGUACGAGCGCGACGGAAAUUACGUACGUACGUACCAAAUGAGAAAUGACUACACGCACGGCGCCAUGUUUAGUUUACCACAGAAGCUAGGGAAGGCAGGCCAUGGCGGCAGGCAACGGGCAACAGAUCGAAGAGAGUCACAGACUGCUUUUGCUGUAGCAGAUGGACGGUGCGAUUUGGACAGGAGCAGAUCCUGUGUGGCCCCAGGAUCGUGCCUGUCCUGGUAAUGGCACGCAGGGUUCGAUCGCUUGCAAUCCAAGCCGGAUUCUGAUGGCACUUGCUCCGGUCAUGUGACUACUGUGCAUCGGCACCGGCACCAGGCUACAGAUCGAUAGGGAAUCUCCUUCUUUAUUUCCCUUUUGCUAAUGCACACGGUUAAAUCAAGACAAAGUUACCGCAGGCAUCCAUCGCGUACGUACGAGCACCAGGCUACGAGUGGAUGCCG